AUGAACGCUGGCGGCGUGCCUAAUACAUGCAAGUCGAGCGAACGGACGAGAAGCUUGCUUCUCUGAUGUUAGCGGCGGACGGGUGAGUAACACGUGGAUAACCUACCUAUAAGACUGGGAUAACUUCGGGAAACCGGAGCUAAUACCGGAUAAUAUUUUGAACCGCAUGGUUCAAAAGUGAAAGACGGUCUUGCUGUCACUUAUAGAUGGAUCCGCGCUGCAUUAGCUAGUUGGUAAGGUAACGGCUUACCAAGGCAACGAUGCAUAGCCGACCUGAGAGGGUGAUCGACCACACUGGAACUGAGACACGGUCCAGACUCCUACGGGAGGCAGCAGUAGGGAAUCUUCCGCAAUGGGCGAAAGCCUGACGGAGCAACGCCGCGUGAGUGAUGAAGGUCUUCGGAUCGUAAAACUCUGUUAUUAGGGAAGAACAUAUGUGUAAGUAACUGUGCACAUCUUGACGGUACCUAAUCAGAAAACCACGGCUAACUACGUG
RNAcentral lists this ribosomal RNA (496 nucleotides) under uncultured bacterium. RNAcentral's name for it is "partial 16S ribosomal RNA". It matches the Rfam family "Bacterial small subunit ribosomal RNA", at positions 29 to 507 of the family's 1533-position model. The record is from RNAcentral.